This 526-nucleotide ribosomal RNA is filed under the name Epizoanthus sp. 'Sub-Antarctic'. Its description in RNAcentral is "partial 16S ribosomal RNA". It matches the Rfam family "Bacterial large subunit ribosomal RNA", at positions 2006 to 2474 of the family's 2925-position model. The record is from RNAcentral. Lineage: Eukaryota; Metazoa; Cnidaria; Anthozoa; Zoantharia; Epizoanthidae.
GAAGGCCCCACUGUCUUAAGAGAAUUCCCAGUGAAAUUGAAUUCGUAGUGAAGAUGCUACGUCCAAUUUGUCAGACGAAAAGACCCCAUUGAGCUUUACUGGAGACUUACAUUGCUCGGAUCAACUCUCGCCCCCCCCCCUUGGCGGGGGGUCGAAUUUAAAUGGAUAGCUUAAAUUAUGUGGUGUUAUAACCGUCGAUCAAGUAGUCCCUACGGGAUUGCCCCCGAAGGUUGACCUGUUUGGGUGAAUGAAACCCCACUCUUUUUUGUUAAAUGAGCUAACCCCUUAAAGGGGGACAAUGUAAGUUGGACAGUUUGGUUGGGGCGACCGCCUUUUAAAGAGUAACGAAGGUGUGCUUAAGGUACACAAUCAAUAACACAAGCCUGACUGCGAGGGGGACCCUCCGAGCAGACACCUAAAGUCUUCUCCCUUCCCCCCGAAGGUUAAAGACGAAUGGUGGGUUAUAGUGACCCGUUAAUUUAGAGUGGAAUAGUUAACGAUCAACGAAUAAAAGUUACCAUGGGGA